GUUUCCGUAGUGUAGUGGUUAUCACGUUCCCCUAACACGUGAAAGGUCCCUGGUUUGAAACCGGGUGGAAGCA
RNAcentral lists this transfer RNA (73 nucleotides) under Petromyzon marinus (sea lamprey). Its description in RNAcentral is "tRNA-Val (AAC) (tRNA-Val-AAC-47-1)". It matches the Rfam family "tRNA". Rfam says of the family: Transfer RNA (tRNA) molecules are approximately 80 nucleotides in length. Their secondary structure includes four short double-helical elements and three loops (D, anti-codon, and T loops). The record is from RNAcentral. Lineage: Eukaryota; Metazoa; Chordata; Hyperoartia; Petromyzontiformes; Petromyzontidae.